UAUAGUAGAGAAGUAGCCCGGCGAAAGUCGGAUUUAAUGCUCUAUGUUCUCUUUUGAUGGCAUCUGACGAGAAGCAAAGGUUCACCGCUAUAGGAUGGGGAUGCGUCUGAUUAGGUAGUCGGCGGGUAACGGCCCACCGAGCCAUCGAUCAGUAGGGGUUCUGAGAGGAAGGUCCCCCACAUUGGUACUGAGACACGGACCAAACUCCUACGGGAGGCAGCAGUGAGGAAUAUUGGUCAAUGGGCGAGAGCCUGAACCAGCCAAGUAGCGUAGCAGGAUGACUGCCCUAUGGGUUGUAAACUGCUUUUAUAGGGGAAUAAAGUGAGGUACGUGUACCUUUUUGUAUGUACCCUAUGAAUAAGGACCGGCUAAUUCCGUGCCAGCAGCGGC
Molecule: ribosomal RNA, 390 nt
Filed under: uncultured bacterium
Lineage: Bacteria
Description: bacterial SSU rRNA
Rfam family: Bacterial small subunit ribosomal RNA
Source: RNAcentral